RNAcentral lists this ribosomal RNA (468 nucleotides) under uncultured bacterium. RNAcentral describes it as "partial 16S ribosomal RNA". It matches the Rfam family "Bacterial small subunit ribosomal RNA", at positions 28 to 507 of the family's 1533-position model. The record is from RNAcentral.
GACGAACGCUGGCGGCGUGCUUAACACAUGCAAGUCGAACGGAAAGGCCCUGCUUUUGUGGGGUGCUCGAGUGGCGAACGGGUGAGUAACACGUGAGUAACCUGCCCUUGACUUUGGGAUAACUUCAGGAAACUGGGGCUAAUACCGGAUAGGAGCUCCUGCUGCAUGGUGGGGGUUGGAAAGUUUCGGCGGUUGGGGAUGGACUCGCGGCUUAUCAGCUUGUUGGUGGGGUAGUGGCUUACCAAGGCUUUGACGGGUAGCCGGCCUGAGAGGGUGACCGGCCACAUUGGGACUGAGAUACGGCCCAGACUCCUACGGGAGGCAGCAGUGGGGAAUAUUGCACAAUGGGCGGAAGCCUGAUGCAGCAACGCCGCGUGCGGGAUGACGGCCUUCGGGUGGUAAACCGCUGUCUCCUGUGACGAAGCGGGAGUGACGGUAAUGGGUAAAGAAGCACCGGCUAACUACGUG